This 2825-nucleotide ribosomal RNA is filed under the name Klebsiella pneumoniae. RNAcentral describes it as "bacterial LSU rRNA". It matches the Rfam family "Bacterial large subunit ribosomal RNA". Lineage: Bacteria; Pseudomonadati; Pseudomonadota; Gammaproteobacteria; Enterobacterales; Enterobacteriaceae. The record is from RNAcentral.
GGGUUGUGAGGUUAAGCGACUAAGCGUACACGGUGGAUGCCCUGGCAGUCAGAGGCGAUGAAGGACGUGCUAAUCUGCGAAAAGCGUCGGUAAGGUGAUAUGAACCGUUACAGCCGGCGAUGUCCGAAUGGGGAAACCCAGUGCAAUUCGUUGCACUAUCGUUAACUGAAUACAUAGGUUAACGAGGCGAACCGGGGGAACUGAAACAUCUAAGUACCCCGAGGAAAAGAAAUCAACCGAGAUUCCCCCAGUAGCGGCGAGCGAACGGGGAGCAGCCCAGAGUCUGAAUCAGCUUGUGUGUUAGUGGAACGGUCUGGAAAGUCCGACGGUACAGGGUGAUAGUCCCGUACACCAAAAUGCACAGGCUGUGAACUCGAAGAGUAGGGCGGGACACGUGGUAUCCUGUCUGAAUAUGGGGGGACCAUCCUCCAAGGCUAAAUACUCCUGACUGACCGAUAGUGAACCAGUACCGUGAGGGAAAGGCGAAAAGAACCCCGGCGAGGGGAGUGAAAAAGAACCUGAAACCGUGUACGUACAAGCAGUGGGAGCACCUUCGGGUGUGACUGCGUACCUUUUGUAUAAUGGGUCAGCGACUUAUAUUCUGUAGCAAGGUUAACCGUAUAGGGGAGCCGCAGGGAAACCGAGUCUUAACUGGGCGUUAAGUUGCAGGGUAUAGACCCGAAACCCGGUGAUCUAGCCAUGGGCAGGUUGAAGGUUGGGUAACACUAACUGGAGGACCGAACCGACUAAUGUUGAAAAAUUAGCGGAUGACUUGUGGCUGGGGGUGAAAGGCCAAUCAAACCGGGAGAUAGCUGGUUCUCCCCGAAAGCUAUUUAGGUAGCGCCUCGUGAACUCAUCUUCGGGGGUAGAGCACUGUUUCGGCUAGGGGGUCAUCCCGACUUACCAACCCGAUGCAAACUACGAAUACCGAAGAAUGUUAUCACGGGAGACACACGGCGGGUGCUAACGUCCGUCGUGAAGAGGGAAACAACCCAGACCGCCAGCUAAGGUCCCAAAGUCAUGGUUAAGUGGGAAACGAUGUGGGAAGGCACAGACAGCCAGGAUGUUGGCUUAGAAGCAGCCAUCAUUUAAAGAAAGCGUAAUAGCUCACUGGUCGAGUCGGCCUGCGCGGAAGAUGUAACGGGGCUAAACCAUGCACCGAAGCUGCGGCAGCGACACUAUGUGUUGUUGGGUAGGGGAGCGUUCUGUAAGCCUGCGAAGGUGACCUGUGAGGGUUGCUGGAGGUAUCAGAAGUGCGAAUGCUGACAUAAGUAACGAUAAAGCGGGUGAAAAGCCCGCUCGCCGGAAGACCAAGGGUUCCUGUCCAACGUUAAUCGGGGCAGGGUGAGUCGACCCCUAAGGCGAGGCCGAAAGGCGUAGUCGAUGGGAAACAGGUUAAUAUUCCUGUACUUGGUGUUACUGCGAAGGGGGGACGGAGAAGGCUAUGUUAGCCGGGCGACGGUUGUCCCGGUUUAAGCAUGUAGGCUGGUUGUCCAGGCAAAUCCGGAUAAUCAAGGCUGAGGUGUGAUGACGAGGCACUACGGUGCUGAAGUAACAAAUGCCCUGCUUCCAGGAAAAGCCUCUAAGCAUCAGGUAACAUCAAAUCGUACCCCAAACCGACACAGGUGGUCAGGUAGAGAAUACCAAGGCGCUUGAGAGAACUCGGGUGAAGGAACUAGGCAAAAUGGUGCCGUAACUUCGGGAGAAGGCACGCUGGUGUGUAGGUGAAGUCCCUGCGGAUGGAGCUGAGACCAGUCGAAGAUACCAGCUGGCUGCAACUGUUUAUUAAAAACACAGCACUGUGCAAACACGAAAGUGGACGUAUACGGUGUGACGCCUGCCCGGUGCCGGAAGGUUAAUUGAUGGGGUUAUCCGUAAGGAGAAGCUCUUGAUCGAAGCCCCGGUAAACGGCGGCCGUAACUAUAACGGUCCUAAGGUAGCGAAAUUCCUUGUCGGGUAAGUUCCGACCUGCACGAAUGGCGUAAUGAUGGCCAGGCUGUCUCCACCCGAGACUCAGUGAAAUUGAACUCGCUGUGAAGAUGCAGUGUACCCGCGGCAAGACGGAAAGACCCCGUGAACCUUUACUAUAGCUUGACACUGAACAUUGAGCCUUGAUGUGUAGGAUAGGUGGGAGGCUUUGAAGCGUGGACGCCAGUCUGCGUGGAGCCAACCUUGAAAUACCACCCUUUAAUGUUUGAUGUUCUAACGUUGGCCCCUUACCGGGGUUGCGGACAGUGUCUGGUGGGUAGUUUGACUGGGGCGGUCUCCUCCCAAAGCGUAACGGAGGAGCACGAAGGUUAGCUAAUCCUGGUCGGACAUCAGGAGGUUAGUGCAAUGGCAUAAGCUAGCUUGACUGCGAGCGUGACGGCGCGAGCAGGUGCGAAAGCAGGUCAUAGUGAUCCGGUGGUUCUGAAUGGAAGGGCCAUCGCUCAACGGAUAAAAGGUACUCCGGGGAUAACAGGCUGAUACCGCCCAAGAGUUCAUAUCGACGGCGGUGUUUGGCACCUCGAUGUCGGCUCAUCACAUCCUGGGGCUGAAGUAGGUCCCAAGGGUAUGGCUGUUCGCCAUUUAAAGUGGUACGCGAGCUGGGUUUAGAACGUCGUGAGACAGUUCGGUCCCUAUCUGCCGUGGGCGCUGGAGAAUUGAGGGGGGCUGCUCCUAGUACGAGAGGACCGGAGUGGACGCAUCACUGGUGUUCGGGUUGUCAUGCCAAUGGCACUGCCCGGUAGCUAAAUGCGGAAGAGAUAAGUGCUGAAAGCAUCUAAGCACGAAACUUGCCCCGAGAUGAGUUCUCCCUGAGACUUUAAGUCUCCUGAAGGAACGUU